CUUUGUUAAUACAGCCUACCUUGCCCAUCUCAGCUUGAUGAGGGGCAAGCUCAGAUCUUUCCCCAAUGCUUCCAUGAACUUUGACCAAGAAGGACUUACUCCAUGAAAUAUGCGUUAGAUAAAACAUCAUAUCCUAAGAUGGGAAAAACCAACUGGAACUUAGCUUCUAUCCCCUGUGCCCAGGUUCUACAGAGAAAAACAAAACAUGAUCAGCAGGCAGAAGAGGUCCUCUCUCCAAUCCUGUACACCUAAGAGAAUGUUGACUUAUUGUCAGCUCAUCUGUAGAACAAGUAGUGAAUGCAGAGAAAGCCAUAUGUGAAGUAGUUCAAUAAGCAACCGAUGUCUUUAUUGUGUGUUUGAGAUCUUUCUUUCCCACAAUUCUGUUAGGUACAACAACUAUGACCGAGCUGUCAUCAACACCGUACCUUAUGAUGUCGUUCAUCGUUGGUAUACAGCACAUCGGACUCUAACAAUUGAGUUGAGGAGACCUGAGAAUGAGCUUUGGGUCAAACUAAAGCCUGGGAGGGUCCUAUUUAUAGACAACUGGCGAGUCCUACAUGGCAGGGAAUCCUUCACUGGCUACCGCCAACUCUGUGGCUGCUAUUUAACAAGAGAUGAUGUCUUAAACACUGCUCGUCUCUUGGGGCUUCAGGCUUAAGUUUGACAGCAUUGGGAUUAUGAACAUACCUGGCACCUUGGCUACCAGAAUUUCUUAUCAGCAGAAUACGGUGUCAGAAUCUACUUCGUGUUGUCUCUUUUGUCCCAUCCCCACGAAGCAGAAGCUGCCCCUUUCUCUAGCAUGGGAACGUGUUAGAGACAGGAGGGGCUUCUGAGAUACCUAAUGUAUCUCAGAACCAUCUAGUGGGGUAGAUCUCUCCCCCAAGCUGUAACAGGAGCCUGCAUGUUUUCUAAAACUUCUGAGAUAAUUCUGGUCACUAUUAGUGCUUCAGAAAUAUAGAAAAUUUAUUUGAUUCUCCAUAUUGAAAUCAAAGCAAUAAUACUGAGUAGGUAAAUUUUUCUUCAGACCAGGACAGUUGGAAUGAAAUGCAUCCUAGAAAUGGCAAAAUACUGAUAAGUCAGCAAUUCACAAAAAUUUUGGUCUUAGUAUCCACAAGGGAGAACAUUUGGCACUUGUCUUUCUUUCUGAUUCACUUCAUUUAACAUAAUGUUCUCUAGUCGCAUCUAUUUUUAUAUAAAUGAUAGCAUUCUUUCAUGACUGAAUAGUAUUCCAUUGCACAUAUGUACCACAUUUCCUUUAUCCAUUCAUCUAUUCGUGGGCAUCCAGGUUGAUUCCACAUCACGGCUAUUGUGAAUAAUGCAGCAAUAAACAAGACCACACAA
This is a long non-coding RNA of Sciurus carolinensis (gray squirrel), 1341 nucleotides long. RefSeq lists it as uncharacterized. The record is from RefSeq and is a predicted model, not a curated record. Lineage: Eukaryota; Metazoa; Chordata; Mammalia; Rodentia; Sciuridae. The transcript has 2 exons.